UACGUAGGGGGCGAGCGUUGUCCGGAAUUAUUGGGCGUAAAGAGCGUGUAGGCUGUUCGGUAAGUCUGCCGUGAAAACCUGAGGCUCAACCUCGGGCGUGCGGUGGAUACUGCCGGGCUAGAGGACGGUAGAGGCGAGUGGAAUUCCCGGUGUAGCGGUGAAAUGCGCAGAUAUCGGGAGGAACACCAGUAGCGAAGGCGGUUGCCUGGGGCUUUGCUGACGCUGAUGCGCGAAAGCGUGGGGAGCGAUCCGG
This 253-nucleotide ribosomal RNA is filed under the name uncultured bacterium. RNAcentral's name for it is "partial 16S ribosomal RNA". It matches the Rfam family "Bacterial small subunit ribosomal RNA", at positions 524 to 776 of the family's 1533-position model. The record is from RNAcentral.